AUUGAACGCUGGCGGCAGGCCUAACACAUGCAAGUCGAGCGGCAGCACGGGUACUUGUACCUGGUGGCGAGCGGCGGACGGGUGAGUAAUGCCUAGGAAUCUGCCUGGUAGUGGGGGAUAACGCUCGGAAACGGACGCUAAUACCGCAUACGUCCUACGGGAGAAAGCAGGGGACCUUCGGGCCUUGCGCUAUCAGAUGAGCCUAGGUCGGAUUAGCUAGUUGGUGAGGUAACGGCUCACCAAGGCGACGAUCCGUAACUGGUCUGAGAGGAUGAUCAGUCACACUGGAACUGAGACACGGUCCAGACUCCUACGGGAGGCAGCAGUGGGGAAUAUUGGACAAUGGGCGAAAGCCUGAUCCAGCCAUGCCGCGUGUGUGAAGAAGGUCUUCGGAUUGUAAAGCACUUUAAGUUGGGAGGAAGGGCAUUUACCUAAUACGUAAGUGUUUUGACGUUACCGACAGAAUAAGCACCGGCUAACUCUGUGC
This 487-nucleotide ribosomal RNA is filed under the name uncultured bacterium. RNAcentral describes it as "bacterial SSU rRNA". It matches the Rfam family "Bacterial small subunit ribosomal RNA", at positions 30 to 508 of the family's 1533-position model. The record is from RNAcentral.